CGCUGGCGGCGUGCUUAACACAUGCAAGUCGAACGGAAAGGUCUCUUCGGAGAUACUCGAGUGGCGAACGGGUGAGUAACACGUGGGUGAUCUGCCCUGCACUUCGGGAUAAGCCUGGGAAACUGGGUCUAAUACCGGAUAGGACCACGGGAUGCAUGUCUUGUGGUGGAAAGCGCUUUAGCGGUGUGGGAUGAGCCCGCGGCCUAUCAGCUUGUUGGUGGGGUGACGGCCUACCAAGGCGACGACGGGUAGCCGGCCUGAGAGGGUGUCCGGCCACACUGGGACUGAGAUACGGCCCAGACUCCUACGGGAGGCAGCAGUGGGGAAUAUUGCACAAUGGGCGCAAGCCUGAUGCAGCGACGCCGCGUGGGGGAUGACGGCCUUCGGGUUGUAAACCUCUUUCACCAUCGACGAAGGUCCGGGUUCUCUCGGAUUGACGGUAGGUGGAGAAGAAGCACCGGCCAACUACGUGCCAGCAGCCGCGGUAAUACGUAGGGUGCGAGCGUUGUCCGGAAUUACUGGGCGUAAAGAGCUCGUAGGUGGUUUGUCGCGUUGUUCGUGAAAUCUCACGGCUUAACUGUGAGCGUGCGGGCGAUACGGGCAGACUAGAGUACUGCAGGGGAGACUGGAAUUCCUGGUGUAGCGGUGGAAUGCGCAGAUAUCAGGAGGAACAC
Molecule: ribosomal RNA, 674 nt
Filed under: Mycobacterium tuberculosis variant caprae
Lineage: Bacteria; Bacillati; Actinomycetota; Actinomycetes; Mycobacteriales; Mycobacteriaceae
Description: bacterial SSU rRNA
Rfam family: Bacterial small subunit ribosomal RNA
Source: RNAcentral